This 103-nucleotide microRNA precursor is filed under the name Marmota monax (woodchuck). The record is from RNAcentral. Lineage: Eukaryota; Metazoa; Chordata; Mammalia; Rodentia; Sciuridae.
AGUAGAAUUGCUGGAUCAUAUGGUAGUUCUGCAUUUAACUUUUUGAAAAAUUGCCAACAUGCUUUUCACAGUGGCAGUAUCAUUUGACAUUCCCAUCAGCAAU